GCAAGCAUAGUUUAACUCAAACAUUAGAUUGUGAUUCUAGAGAUAGGAGUUUAAACCUCCUUGCUCGCC
RNAcentral lists this transfer RNA (69 nucleotides) under Pternistis ahantensis (Ahanta francolin). Its description in RNAcentral is "tRNA-His". It matches the Rfam family "tRNA". From Rfam's summary of the family: Transfer RNA (tRNA) molecules are approximately 80 nucleotides in length. Their secondary structure includes four short double-helical elements and three loops (D, anti-codon, and T loops). The record is from RNAcentral. Lineage: Eukaryota; Metazoa; Chordata; Aves; Galliformes; Phasianidae.